UGUAACUCAUCUGGAGACCAUCUGUGAUACCUUUGUUUGGGAAACAGAUUCUUUGCAUUGGCAUCUUUAAGUGAAGUUUAAGAGUUGGAAAUUGUAAGAGUUGGAAAAGGAAGAUAAAAUUCAUAUUUUCGUUCUAUUCUUUUUUGGUUAUUUGAGAAUAGAAUAUAACAAGAAAGAGAAGGAAGACAAGGAGAAGUCUUACAUUUAUGCAUUAAGAGACACAAGCAGAAUUCAAAUUGGCUGGGAAUUUCACAAAACUGGUUAUGUGAGUUAUCUUUGGAUUGCCUAUGGCCAGUAACUCAAGCAGCAACUUGAACCUGAGUUGGGUAAUUUGAAGUUACCGCUUGCUAAUUACUUUGCUGUACCCAAGACAGAAAACAGAGGAAAAAUACAUCAAUUUGCCUAUCAACAUUUUUCUGAGUAAGUAAAUAAACUUUGCAUGCUUUUUUUCUGAAGUUAUAUAUACAAAGAGCCCAAUAUUAAUGAACAACAAGAAAAUGAUUUCUGGUGCGGUAUCUGAUUAUGGAAAUGAAACAUUAAAUCCACAAUUUGGUCAAAGAUCUGCAGUUCUUUCUAGAUUUUCCUAUCUAGUGUUUGUGAAUAUAAAAUAAUAAAAUGCAAUUUAGGAUAAUAAUAUCAUUUAGCAGAUUACCAGAAGAUCUAGGCUGGAAGAAUCCUAAUAACUACUAGAUGACAGAAAAGAACUAGUAUUCUACGUAACUUUGUUGACAUCUGGUAGUCAUGUGGAUUUUUCUAGCCCAGAUUCAGUAGCCCUACUGAAAUUUAUGUAACGGAUUAAUUUUACAAAAAUGACAAGGCAGUAUUGCUGGAGAGGGAGGGACAGAGGAAGAAGAAAGAGGGAGGAGUACAUAGAUACAUACACUGUAUUUCUUUGGAAAUAUAUCACACUUUAUUAAAUGAAUUAUAUUAUAUAAAGACUUGGCUCUCUGGAAAAUGCUGCAAUUUGGCGAAAGGUGGAAAGAAAGACCAGCAACAAGGUGGAUGGAUUGGGUUACAGUAGUGAUGAAUGCAACAUUGGAAGAUCCAGGUUAAGGGUAGACCAUCAUAGCAAAUGUUUAUCUAUGAUUUCUAGGAGCUGAAAAUGAUUUUUAUGACAAUAACCAAUCAACUCUAUUAAACAAAUAUAGAAUUGCAGCCACAACAUUUGAUAGACAACUACCACAAAUGAGUUAUUGAUCUGGAUUAUUUUCUGGUUUUUAUUCACCAUGUUUCCUGGUCUCCUGAAACCAUGGUACUUCUGGAGCUGUUGUCUAAGACCAGUUCAAAGGAUUGAUCCAAGAUCCAGUUGAACAAGUGAAACCACCUGCCUCUUCUGGGCUAGGAGACCUAUCCCAACAAGCAAUUUUGGUUUGGUUUAACUCUUGUAAGGCAGCACCAAAAUACUGGAAUAUUGAAAAGGAAUAUUAUUAAAUCUUCCAAUUGUGAUGUUGGUAAAACAUCAGCUAAAAUAAAGACUGGAAGAAAUAAUGAAUGAGAGAAAAAUAGAAGAAAAAAAAAACAGAAACUGUUCUAAGAAGUCAUUAAUUGUUUAUAAGUAAUUUGGUUCAUGUUACUUUUUGUUCACAUAGUUUUCUCUGUCAGUUGUUUUGAUUCUAGUUGUUGCAAUUGUUUAUCUUGCUGCCAGUAACACAUAUUGUGUGCAUGCUAGCUGGAAAAUUUUGUGAGUUGAAGUCCACACAUCUUAAAAUUGCCAAGUUUGAAAAACAUUGUACUAAGUAAAAAUAAUUCUCAAUACAUUAGUCUUGUUUUAUAGUGUAUGUUAAUUCUAAUAUAGAAGGAUUUAUUACUCUAGGCUGCUGUUAAAGUUAUAUGGGAAAGACAAAGUAGUACAGGCCUAAUAGGUAUGUUUUUAAUAAGAGUAAUAAAUUAUAUUGUAC
Molecule: long non-coding RNA, 1898 nt
Organism: Pantherophis guttatus
Lineage: Eukaryota; Metazoa; Chordata; Lepidosauria; Squamata; Colubridae
Source: RefSeq, a predicted model, not a curated record